ACGUAGGUAGCAAGCGUUAUUCGGAUUUACUGGGCGUAAAGGGUCCGCAGGGGGCCUGUCAAGUCUGAUGUGAAAUGCCACGGCUCAACCGUGGAACGGCAUUGGAAACUGACGGGCUAGAGUGCAUGAGGGGUGAGCAGAAUUCCUGGUGUAGCGGUGGAAUGCGUAGAUAUCAGGAGGAAUACCGAUGGCGAAGGCGGCUCACUGGCGUGCAACUGACCCUCAGGGACGAAAGCGUGGGUAGCAAACAG
This 251-nucleotide ribosomal RNA is filed under the name uncultured prokaryote. Its description in RNAcentral is "partial 16S rRNA". It matches the Rfam family "Bacterial small subunit ribosomal RNA", at positions 525 to 775 of the family's 1533-position model. The record is from RNAcentral.